UAAAAAAAUCAGGCCUGCCCACUGAUUAAUUGAAGGGCUGCAGUAUUUUGACUGUACAAAGGUAGCAUAAUCAUUAGUCUUUUAAUUGGGGACUGGUAUGAAAGGUUUGACGGAGAUUGGUUGUCUCGGACUUAAAGUUGUGAAUUUUAUUUUUAAGGAAAAGAGCUUAAAUGCUGCAAAGGGACGAGAAGACCCUAUUAAAUUUCAUUGUUGCUAAGUAAAAUUUUAUUUGUAUAAAAUUUUUAUUUAAAAAAUAAUUUUGCUGGGGCGGUAAAUAAUUAACAUUAUUGGUUUUUAAUAGUUUAAUUAGCUUUAUUAUGAUCCACUAGGUGUGAUAUUAAGAAUAAAUUACUAUAGGGAUAACAGCGUAAUGUUUUUUGAGAGUUCAUAUUGACAAAAAUGUUUGCGACCUCGAUGUUGGAUUAAGGAGUCUUAUCGGUGCAGUAGUUGAUAAAGAAGGUCUGUUCGACCUUUAAAUCCUUACAUGAUCUGAGUUCAAACCGGA
Molecule: ribosomal RNA, 505 nt
Filed under: Bicoxidens flavicollis
Lineage: Eukaryota; Metazoa; Arthropoda; Diplopoda; Spirostreptida; Spirostreptidae
Description: partial large subunit ribosomal RNA
Rfam family: Bacterial large subunit ribosomal RNA
Source: RNAcentral